UACGUAGGGACCAAGCGUUGUUCGGAUUUACUGGGCGUAAGGGCGCGUAGGCGGCUUGUCAAGUCACUUGUGAAAUCUCUGGGCUUAACCCAGAACGGCCAAGUGAAACUGACAUGCUAGAGUGCAGAAGGGGCAAUCGGAAUUCUUGGUGUAGCGGUGAAAUGCGUAGAUAUCAAGAGGAACACCUGAGGUGAAGACGGGUUGCUGGGCUGACACUGACGCUGAGGCGCGAAAGCCAGGGGAGCAAACGGG
This 252-nucleotide ribosomal RNA is filed under the name uncultured bacterium. RNAcentral's name for it is "partial 16S ribosomal RNA". It matches the Rfam family "Bacterial small subunit ribosomal RNA", at positions 524 to 776 of the family's 1533-position model. The record is from RNAcentral.